UACCAGCACCCCGAGUGGUCGGGACGAUUAUUGGGCCUAAAGCAUCCGUAGCCGGCCUUACAAGUCCUCCGUUAAAUCCAGCUGCUUAACAGAUGGGCUGCGGAGGAUACUAUAAGACUAGGAGGCAGGAGAGGCAAGCGGUACUCAGUGGGUAGGGGUAAAAUCCGUUGAUCCAUAGAAGACCACCAGUGGCGAAGGCGGCUUGCCAGAACGCGCUCGACGGUGAGGGAUGAAAGCUGGGGGAGCAAACCGG
RNAcentral lists this ribosomal RNA (253 nucleotides) under uncultured bacterium. RNAcentral describes it as "partial 16S ribosomal RNA". It matches the Rfam family "Archaeal small subunit ribosomal RNA", at positions 474 to 727 of the family's 1478-position model. The record is from RNAcentral.